CGGUUGCUGCCGAGUGCGUCAACGUUCGCAAUCCCUGGGGCCAAUAAUGACCUCUUGGGAGCUGUCCCUGCCGGACCCGUGGGUUCGGUAAAUGGCGCCCACCUGCAUUCGCAGGCCACAGAGGAUCAUCGAACCAACGGCUGCGGCGGCGCCGUC
Molecule: non-coding RNA, 156 nt
Filed under: Rhodospirillales bacterium
Lineage: Bacteria; Pseudomonadati; Pseudomonadota; Alphaproteobacteria; Rhodospirillales
Description: 6S RNA
Rfam family: 6S / SsrS RNA
About the family: E. coli 6S RNA was the first non coding RNA to be sequenced, but its function was unknown until recently. It consists of 184 nucleotides that fold into an extended hairpin structure with a large single-stranded internal bulge.
Source: RNAcentral